Molecule: small nucleolar RNA, 93 nt
Filed under: Theobroma cacao (cacao)
Lineage: Eukaryota; Viridiplantae; Streptophyta; Magnoliopsida; Malvales; Malvaceae
Description: Small nucleolar RNA snoR8a
Rfam family: Small nucleolar RNA snoR8a
Source: Rfam by way of RNAcentral
AAGCUAGCAAUGAUUAUAAAAAUAAUUUUUUGCUCUGAUUUGCUUAAUUUAGGUAUAACAAACCUUUUAUUACAAACAUAGAAUCUGAGUUAC